AAGAAUUGAUCUUGGGUGAACCAUAAGCUGCUGGACCAUGGUUAGAAAAGUGUUAGAUUGAUCAGACGGCAGUUUUGGAAGAAUCACAUUUUUGAAGCACGACGGUUUAGAAGCUCGACGUUUUUGAAGAUUGACGUUUCUUCAUCGCGAAGUUUUCUCAGAAUAUCUUCGUAUCAGUAAAAUAUUAUUCUGAAGACAUUAUAAGUCGGAAGCAGGACGGGAAUUAAGCAGGACGGGAAGCAAGCACGACGGGAUUGAAGCACGAGGUGCCGCGAAACCUGCGAUCGGAGCAUGCUGAGCGACAUGUGUGCGCUGAGUGUCAAUCUGGAUGAGGUCAGGCCGUGGAUCAGACAUCUGGAGGGCAUGGUGUCACUCUGCAUGAUGUCCUGGUCAUGCCAUCAGACAUGUGGAGCACGAGGUGCCGCGACGCAUGCGUCCGGAGCCAUGCGAGGCGACACACGGGCUGCCACACGGCUUGUUU
This 481-nucleotide long non-coding RNA is filed under the name Brassica rapa (field mustard). RNAcentral's name for it is "long non-coding RNA (BRAP_LNC008995)". Lineage: Eukaryota; Viridiplantae; Streptophyta; Magnoliopsida; Brassicales; Brassicaceae. The record is from RNAcentral.